AAAUAACAAUACGGGGCUUAAUGUCUUGUAAUUGGAAUGAUGGGAAUUUAAACCUCUUCCAGAGUAUCAAUUGGAGGGCAAGUCUGGUGCCAGCAGCCGCGGUAAUUCCAGCUCCAAUAGCGUAUAUUAAAAUUGUUGCAGUUAAAAAGCUCGUAGUUGAAUUUCUGCUGCAUUGCAUUUUCUCUUAUACGAGUUUUUGCAUUGUGGCUUAUUUCGGUUAUAAAAUUUAUUUUAUUUCCGGAUAUUUACUUUGAGAAAAUUAGAGUGCUCAAAGCAGGCUUUUGCCUUGAAUAGUUUAGCAUGGAAUAAUAAAGUAGGACUUUGGUUCUAUUUUGUUGGUUUUAGGUACCAAAGUAAUGGUUAAUAGGAACAGUUGGGGGCAUUCGUAUUUA
This 392-nucleotide ribosomal RNA is filed under the name Theileria sp. Its description in RNAcentral is "SSU rRNA". It matches the Rfam family "Eukaryotic small subunit ribosomal RNA", at positions 475 to 900 of the family's 1831-position model. RNAcentral also lists the same sequence under 1 other name. Lineage: Eukaryota; Apicomplexa; Aconoidasida; Piroplasmida; Theileriidae. The record is from RNAcentral.